ACGGCUCAGUAACACGUGGACAACCUGCCCUUAGGUUGGGUAUAAACCCGGGAAACUGGGUAUAAUACCCGAUAGGUCUCGAUUGCUGGAAUGCAUCGAGAUUUAAAGCUCCGGCGCCUAAGGAUGGGUCUGCGGCCUAUCAGGUAGUAGUGGGUGUAGCGUACCUACUAGCCUACGACGGGUACGGGUUGUGAGAGCAAGAGCCCGGAGAUGGAUUCUGAGACACGAAUCCAGGCCCUACGGGGUGCAGCAGGCGCGAAAACUUUACAAUGCGGGAAACCGUGAUAAGGGAAUCUCGAGUGCCAGCAUAUAAUGUUGGCUGUCCAGACGCCUAAAAAGCAUCUGUUAGCAAGGGCCGGGCAAGACCGGUGCCAGCCGCCGCGGUAACACCGGCGGCCCGAGUGGUAACCGCUUUUAUUGGGUCUAAAGGGUCUGUAGCCGGCCAAGUAAGUCCCUUGGGAAAUCUGGCAGCUUAACUGUCAGGCUGCUAGGGGAUACUGCUAGGCUUGGGACCGGGAGAGGUGAGAGGUACCUUGGGGGUAGGGGUGAAAUCUUGUGAUCCUCGGGGGACCACCAGUGGCGAAGGCGUCUCACCAGAACGGGUCCGACGGUAAGGGACGAAAGCUAGGGGCACGAACCGGAUUAGAUACCCGGGUAGUCCUAGCCGUAAACGAUGCUCGCUAGGUGUCAGUCACGGUGCGACCGUGAUUGGUGCCGUAGGGAAGCCGUGAAGCGAGCCACCUGGGAAGUAUGGCCGCAAGGCUGAAACUUAAAGGAAUUGGCGGGGGAGCAC
RNAcentral lists this ribosomal RNA (793 nucleotides) under uncultured Methanosaeta sp. RNAcentral describes it as "bacterial SSU rRNA". It matches the Rfam family "Archaeal small subunit ribosomal RNA", at positions 85 to 879 of the family's 1478-position model. The record is from RNAcentral. Lineage: Archaea; Methanobacteriati; Methanobacteriota; Methanomicrobia; Methanotrichales; Methanotrichaceae.